GGCCAGACUCCUACGGGAGGCAGCAGUGAGGAAUAUUGGUCAAUGGGCGAGAGCCUGAACCAGCCAAGUCGCGUGAAGGAUGACGGCCCUACGGGUUGUAAACUUCUUUUGUCAGGGAGCAAUUGGGUCCACGUGUGGGCUUAGCGAGAGUACCUGAAGAAAAAGCAUCGGCUAACUCCGUGCCAGCAGCCGCGGUAAUACGGAGGAUGCGAGCGUUAUCCGGAUUUAUUGGGUUUAAAGGGUGCGUAGGCGGAACAUUAAGUCAGCGGUAAAAUCGAGGGGCUCAACCCCUGUAAGCCGUUGAAACUGGUGAUCUUGAGUGGGCGAGAAGUAUGCGGAAUGCGUGGUGUAGCGGUGAAAUGCCUAGAUAUCACGCAGAACUCCGAUUGCGAAGGCAGCAUACCGGCGCCCGACUGACGCUGAGGCACGAAAGCGUGGGGAUCGAACAGGAUUAGAUACCCCUGUAUG
This 468-nucleotide ribosomal RNA is filed under the name uncultured bacterium. RNAcentral describes it as "bacterial SSU rRNA". It matches the Rfam family "Bacterial small subunit ribosomal RNA", at positions 329 to 793 of the family's 1533-position model. The record is from RNAcentral.